RNAcentral lists this ribosomal RNA (498 nucleotides) under uncultured bacterium. RNAcentral's name for it is "partial 16S ribosomal RNA". It matches the Rfam family "Bacterial small subunit ribosomal RNA", at positions 30 to 523 of the family's 1533-position model. The record is from RNAcentral.
AUUGAACGCUGGCGGCAUGCCUUACACAUGCAAGUCGAACGGUAACGCGGGGCAACCUGGCGACGAGUGGCGAACGGGUGAGUAACGCAUCGGAACGUGCCCAAUAGUGGGGGAUAGCCCGGCGAAAGCCGGAUUAAUACCGCAUACGACCUACGGGUGAAAGCAGGGGAUCGCCAGAACUUGCGCUAAUGGAGCGGCCGAUGUCAGAUUAGGUUGUUGGUGGGGUAAAAGCCCACCAUGCCGACGACCUGUAGCUGGUCUGAGAGGACGACCAGCCACACUGGGACUGAGACACGGCCCAGACUCCUACGGGAGGCAGCAGUGGGGAAUUUUGGACAAUGGGCGCAAGCCUGAUCCAGCCAUGCCGCGUGCGGGAUGAAGGCCUUCGGGUUGUAAACCGCUUUUGUUAGGGAAGAAAUCUUUUGAGCUAAUACCUCGGAAGGAUGACGGUACCUAAAGAAUAAGCACCGGCUAACUACGUGCCAGCAGCCGCCGUAA